AGCAGUCGCCACGGUAAUACGGAGGGUGCAAGCGUUAAUCGGAAUUACUGGGCGUAAAGCGCACGCAGGCGGUCUGUCAAGUCAGAUGUGAAAUCCCCGGGCUUAACCUGGGAACUGCAUUUGAAACUGGCAGGCUAGAGUCUUGUAGAGGGGGGUAGAAUUCCAGGUGUAGCGGUGAAAUGCGUAGAGAUCUGGAGGAAUACCGAUGGCGAAGGCAGCCAUCUGGCCUAAUACUGACGCUGAGGUACGAAAGCAUGGGGAGCAAACAGGAUUAGAGACCCCAGUAGUCCCUGUCUCUUAUAC
RNAcentral lists this ribosomal RNA (303 nucleotides) under uncultured bacterium. RNAcentral's name for it is "partial 16S ribosomal RNA". It matches the Rfam family "Bacterial small subunit ribosomal RNA", at positions 507 to 807 of the family's 1533-position model. The record is from RNAcentral.